CUACGGAGGGUGCGAGCGUUACACGGAGUCACUGGGCGUAAAGCGUCCGUAGGCGGUCGGGUAAGUCGGGUGUGAAAGCCCCGGGCUCAACCUGGGAAGUGCACCCGAUACUGCUCGACUCGAGUGCGGGAGAGGAUGGCGGAAUUCCCGGUGUAGCGGUGAAAUGCGUAGAGAUCGGGAGGAACACCAGUGGCGAAGGCGGCCAUCUGGCCCGCAACUGACGCUGAGGGACGAAAGCGUGGGGAGCAAACAGGAUUAGAAACCCUAGUAGUCC
Molecule: ribosomal RNA, 274 nt
Filed under: uncultured bacterium
Lineage: Bacteria
Description: partial 16S ribosomal RNA
Rfam family: Bacterial small subunit ribosomal RNA
Source: RNAcentral